This 609-nucleotide ribosomal RNA is filed under the name Burkholderia gladioli pv. gladioli. RNAcentral's name for it is "partial 23S ribosomal RNA". It matches the Rfam family "Bacterial large subunit ribosomal RNA", at positions 962 to 1580 of the family's 2925-position model. Lineage: Bacteria; Pseudomonadati; Pseudomonadota; Betaproteobacteria; Burkholderiales; Burkholderiaceae. The record is from RNAcentral.
CCGAAGAGUGCAAUCACGGGAGACAGACAUCGGGUGCUAACGUCCGGUGUCAAGAGGGAAACAACCCAGACCGCCAGCUAAGGUCCCCAAAUAUAGCUAAGUGGGAAACGAAGUGGGAAGGCUAAAACAGUCAGGAGGUUGGCUUAGAAGCAGCCACCCUUUAAAGAAAGCGUAAUAGCUCACUGAUCGAGUCGUCCUGCGCGGAAGAUGUAACGGGGCUAAGCUAUAUACCGAAGCUGCGGAUGCACAUUUAUGUGCAUGGUAGGAGAGCGUUCCGUAAGCCUGCGAAGGUGCAUUGUAAAGUGUGCUGGAGGUAUCGGAAGUGCGAAUGCUGACAUGAGUAGCGAUAAAGGGGGUGAAAGGCCCCCUCGCCGUAAGCCCAAGGUUUCCUACGCAACGUUCAUCGGCGUAGGGUGAGUCGGCCCCUAAGGCGAGGCAGAAAUGCGUAGCUGAUGGGAAGCAGGUCAAUAUUCCUGCACCAUUGUUAAAUGCGAUGGGGGGACGGAUCGCGGAAGGUUGUCCGGGUGUUGGAAGUCCCGGUCGCUGCGUUGGAGAAGGCACUUAGGCAAAUCCGGGUGCAGAAUUCAAGGGCGUGGCGCGAGCUUCUUA